This 882-nucleotide long non-coding RNA is filed under the name Gallus gallus (chicken). RNAcentral's name for it is "lncRNA (ENSGALG00010023582.1)". The record is from RNAcentral. Lineage: Eukaryota; Metazoa; Chordata; Aves; Galliformes; Phasianidae.
GUUUGAUUUAAGAGACUUCCAAAAUCUAGACCCAGGCACAACGUUUACCUCAUUUCCUAGGCAGGUUUCAAGUUUGCAGGUCUUGGUGUGGACAGAAAAAUCCAUCGCAUGUAGCUGCAAUUACACUGGGACUCAGAAGAUUAGAAGAUGCUUUGCUCUCCUGCUCCUGCUUGCUAGAAUGGAAGAGGUCAUCUAUUUUUAAAGUACUUGGCAGAGGCCAUACCAUCUCUAUUUGUGUCAAUUCCCAGCAGACCAGCACAGGCACUGCAGAUGCGAUACAUCGAGUUCAUCACUGUCUGCUCCUCAUGGCAUGGCCAGAUCAUCAGGUUAUCUUCUACUUGCCUGUUUCCAUGGAAGUCAGCUCUCUUUGGGAUGGCUUACUUCAGCUUCAGCAGCUUUCCAGACCGCAUCUGGGGGUUAACACACCACUUCCACUGAGUGUCACCUUCUUGGAGCAGGAAUAUGAUUUGUAAUGGGACAUCUGAAGGAAGUGAAGGCUCCUGUCUAAGCUCAGGAAAGCAGUUGUGUAUAUAAUUCAGGAGAUCUGUAUGAAGCAGACCAGCAGAGUUUAGGCUGGCAUCAAGAGCAAGAAGGACAGACAGCCCAAUACAUUAUGGCUGCUGAUGAGCGGGACAGACAGGCAUCCUGGAGGUUUGGAGGACGUCUGUACUGAUCAGUGACAUUCGUGGGUCUUCUUAGCAGCUGCUGCCUCCGGUGUUCUUUCAGCUUCCUGUUAACCCAGAAGAGUGGGAGAUGAGACCUUGGUGUUCUGAUACAGGUCUGUGCCUCUAUGCCUUAACUCAAAGGCAGAUGGUUAAAAAAAAAAAUGAGAGCAUGCAGCUCUCAUCUCUGAGAAUAACAGCACUCCGGCUGAAUGUUGGG